UAAUACUACUGCUGAAAAAUAUAUUUUUAUUUCAAUUAACAUAACGGCUUUAAGAUGAUAAAUCAUUAUCAAGUGUUGGAAGAAAAUUUGAAAAAUUUCUUCUUACGUCUGAAUAUCAAUUUUAAUGAUAAACCAAGAGUAUUGUAUUGAAAUUACAAUCCAAAAGUAAAUGUGAUGUCAUUCGUAGCUGUUGGUAGCUUUAUACGGAGCAAUCAAGUGACCAAAUGAAGGACAAUGAACAUGAGAUGUAUUAAAUCGAGCAUGUCAUGUCUAUUAUUUACAUCAUUUAUAUUUAGUCCCGUUACAGCUGAUGGUCGGAUGUUCUACGUCAUCACCGUGGCUCAUGGUCUUCAAACUCAAGUGAUCAUCGAGUUCUUACUACUUCAGUAUCUGAGACUGUUGAGCUAAACAACUGCAAAAAUUUAAGAGAUUAAUAAUAUAGUCUUCACAUGAAAAUAUAGCGACGUUUAAUUUUCCUUUGGCUUUUACAGUGGAGUCAGCUUGGUCAUGAUCCAUACAAGAAAACACGCUACAUGCAAAGAAGAGAAAGGGAGAUAUUUGAGAGAGAGAAAGAAUAAACAUAAACUCAAGUCUCAUGUAAUUACUCUAACCUAUUCGUCAUUUGCGCUUCACAUACUAUCUAAAAUUUAUUUAUAUUUU
Molecule: long non-coding RNA, 660 nt
Organism: Cotesia glomerata
Lineage: Eukaryota; Metazoa; Arthropoda; Insecta; Hymenoptera; Braconidae
Exons: 4
Source: RefSeq, a predicted model, not a curated record